CGGCGAAAUGCCAUAUUAGAUGCGUUAGAAAACAAAGAUGCAUUCGUGAUAUGCGAAACGAGAAAAUCGGUUCCCCAAUUUUCUUUAUGUAUACACGAGGGGUGGUGAUAACGUGUACGAAUCGAAUUGAAUUUUUGUGAUUGUGACUAGUACGUACCUGCACCCUAAUAAGAGCACAUUGGCGCAUCUGUACUUUGCAGAAUUAUUGAUCAAAGAAUUGACGGGGAUGGAGAUGUAAUAAAUGCAUGCAUGUGUAGGCGAUUACGCAUUGAGGUCACCAUAUGAAUUUCUUACCCAGUUCCGCAGAUGCGCUUGCAAGAGAAAUACUUUUACGACCAAGAUAUUGUUAAUUUUUUCAGAAAAAUAGAUCAGUAGGGACCUUAAUAUUUACAUAAAGAAAACAUUUCAACUUUUGCAUAAUUCCGGAAGUCAUCUCUAAAGCAGCAAUCUUGUACAGAAACAGAAUUUACCACAUCAAUUUUUUUAAAUUACCCACGCUUUCGUUGGAAUUCAAGUGGAAUGCUAAGCUAUCUCGUCAAUAUCUUAUUUGGAAGUCAAUAUUGUACGAAACUGAUGCCGUAAGAGCGCAAACGGGUAAUUGUUUGUAGCUUUAGGCAUUGCACACAAUAUGGGGAAGUGUAUACGAAUGGAUUGAGAAAUGUAAAGGUGGCCAGACAAGCCUAAAGCAUAAAAAGGGAGCAGGACGCCACUGAUGAGAAGAUUUUGAGUGCUUGAACACCCUUCCUUCAGCUCGGACCUCGCUCAAUAGAUUUUCAUCUCUUUGGAUCACUCAAAGAUGCCAGAUGCUAUGUAGAAAAGUGAUGCAGGUACUUGGUUAAACCUUACAUUGUGACACAGAUUUAAUGAUGUGAAUAAAAUUUAAAAAAAAGUGCGGCUAAUUUUUGACUCUCCCUCGUAUUUAUGGGUGAUGUGAAAACUUGGAAAGCAUUUACAAUCCUAAACCACGGAACUUCCGGCUCUGCGACCCAAAUCUCUCCAAUAACGAUACCGGCAGUUCAAUUUC
Photinus pyralis (common eastern firefly) is the source of this 1024-nucleotide long non-coding RNA. RefSeq lists it as uncharacterized. NCBI's taxonomy places the organism in Eukaryota, Metazoa, Arthropoda, Insecta, Coleoptera, Lampyridae. The transcript has 3 exons. The record is from RefSeq and is a predicted model, not a curated record.